CCAAAUAUCUAGCCUUCUCCUUCUUACCCUUCAAAUAUAAAUUAAAAUAUUAUAACAGUCUAGUAAAGAAGAUUAAAAAACUCCCAAGAGCUAUAAAUCUGUACCGUAAGGGAAAGAUGAAAUAAAAAUGAAACAAAUUUCAAGCACAAAAAAGUAAAGACUUACCCUUGUACCUUUUGCAUCAUGGUUUAGCUAGUCUAAUUAGGCAAAAAGACCUUAAGUCUAACCCCCCGAAACUAAGUGAGCUAAUUUAGGGCCGCUUUAUGAGCCCACCCGUCUAUGUUGCAAAAUAGUGGGAAGACCCUAAAAUAGAGGUGACAGACCUAACGAACUUAGUGAUAGCUGGUUUCUCAAGAAAAGAAUUUAGUUCAACAUAAAAUAAUGCUAACCUACAUAAUCACCCCUUAUUUUAAAGCAAUUCAAAUGAGGUACAGCCCAUUUGAUACAGGACUCGACCUUCGCUAACGGGUAAAACCCGAUUUACACCUCAAAGUAGGCCUAAGAGCAGCCAUCUUUAGAAAAGCGUCAAAGCUUAACCACAUUUAUCUUAAUCUUUAAACCCCCAUAGAACCCUUUUAUAGUACUGAGAACCUCUAUAAUCCUAUAGAGCCUUUUAUGCUAAAACUAGUAACAAGAAACCCUCCCUCUCUUUAAUGCAAACUUAACCCAGCAGGAAUAAUCACUGACAACUAACAGAGUUAAAUAAAUGUAGCAACUUCACUAGAAAACCCUACCCCCCCCCCCUGUUAACCUAACACCAGAGCAUUUCAAGAAAGAUUAAAAGAAAAAGAAGGAAUUCAGCAAACAAUAGCCUCGCCUGUUUACCAAAAACAUCGCCUCUUGAUUUUAAUAAGAGGUCCAGCCUGCCCAGUGACUCUGUUCAACGGCCGCGGUAUCCUAACCGUGCGAAGGUAGCGUAAUCACUUGUUUUCUAAAUAAAGACCAGUAUGAAAGGCACCACGAGGGCUAAACUGUCUCCUUUUUCUAAUCAGUGAACCUAAUCUCCCCGUGAAGAAGCGGGGAUACUUAUAUAAGACGAGAAGACCCUAUGGAGCUUUAAACAUCAUAACACCUGCUAAAUCAUAUAUUACCCGUUAUAUUCCUCUAUAGCACGCUGAUUAUAAGUUUUUGGUUGGGGUGACCGCGGAGAAAAAUAAAUCCUCCACAAUGAAAGGAACCCUCCUAAACAAUAAGUUACAACUUUAAUUAUCAACAAAUUGACAUCCAUUGACCCAAUAUUUGAUCAACGAACCAAGUUACCCUAGGGAUAACAGCGCAAUCCACUUUGAAAGCUCCUAUCGACAAGUGGGCUUACGACCUCGAUGUUGGAUCGGGGUAUCCAAGUGGUGCAGCCGCUACUUAAGGUUCGUUUGUUCAACGAUUAAAACCCCACGUGAUCUGAGUUCAGACCGGAGCAAUCCAGGUCAGUUUCUAUCUAUAAAGAGCUUUUUUCAGUACGAAAGGACCAAAACAGCAUGGCCAAUAUCACUUCAAGCCAUAAGAUAUUACUUUUGACCUCAACUCAAAAACUACUAUCUCUCCCCCCCCCCCAAAAAAAAAA
RNAcentral lists this ribosomal RNA (1561 nucleotides) under Pristimantis schultei (Schulte's robber frog). Its description in RNAcentral is "partial 16S ribosomal RNA". It matches the Rfam family "Bacterial large subunit ribosomal RNA", at positions 380 to 2925 of the family's 2925-position model. The record is from RNAcentral. Lineage: Eukaryota; Metazoa; Chordata; Amphibia; Anura; Strabomantidae.